Long non-coding RNA from Fopius arisanus, 541 nucleotides. RefSeq lists it as uncharacterized. NCBI's taxonomy places the organism in Eukaryota, Metazoa, Arthropoda, Insecta, Hymenoptera, Braconidae. The record is from RefSeq and is a predicted model, not a curated record. The transcript has 3 exons.
GAUACGGAUCGCACGUCGAAAAACUCUUACUCUAAGCCUCAUAUUACCCUUUCAUGUACGCAACAACAUAAAAAAAAAAAAACGCCAACUCUGUCCCUGAAAAUUCCGACUUACCCUGGAGAUGGUGGCGAACCAGGUGAUUCCUUGGCAAUACCCCAACAACUCACUGCACACCUCCACUACGAAUUGAACCUCUUGUACAUUCAGGUUCAUCUAUCCGGAUAAAUCGUGAUGGGGAAGAGUCGGGAUGAGUUGGGACGUGACGAAGGUGUAAUGAACGUCGUAUUGGAUGACUUGCACGAGAGGAAUGGCCAACGCUGGUUGACCAUGUCAGUCGCCAUCAGGAUCUAUACCCUUGGAGAAUAUCCCUACGUAUAUAUUGAGUCACCGCAGGGCUAUACGUACCGCCAUUUUAUCAAAACGUGAUCCACCAGCGAAACACGAAAUUUCGUACGUGAACGCGCUGCAUAAGUGGUAGCCUACACCAUUUUAUCACAGGGAAAUUCCCAAAAAAAAAAUUGCAAUCUCGAUUCCUCACGAA